This 457-nucleotide ribosomal RNA is filed under the name uncultured bacterium. Its description in RNAcentral is "partial 16S ribosomal RNA". It matches the Rfam family "Bacterial small subunit ribosomal RNA", at positions 338 to 795 of the family's 1533-position model. The record is from RNAcentral.
CCUACGGGAGGCAGCAGUGGGGAAUAUUGCACAAUGGGGGAAACCCUGAUGCAGCGACGCCGCGUGAGUGAAGAAGUAUUUCGGUACGUAAAGCUCUAUCAGCAGGGAAGAAAAAAAGUCCUUUGGACUUUGGACGGUACCUGAAUAAGAAGCACCGGCUAACUACGUGCCAGCAGCCGCGGUAAUACGUAGGGGGCAAGCGUUAUCCGGAUUGACUGGGUGUAAAGGGAGCGUAGACGGCAGCGCAAGUCUGGAGGGAAAUGCCGGGGCCCAACCCCGGAACUGCUUUGGAAACUGUGCAGCUGGAGUGCAGGAGAGGUAAGCGGAAUUCCUAGUGUAGCGGUGAAAUGCGUAGAUAUUAGGAGGAACACCAGUGGCGAAGGCGGCUUACUGGACUGUAACUGACGUUGAGGCUCGAAAGCGUGGGGAGCAAACAGGAUUAGAUACCCGAGUAGUC